CAUAGCGACUAUCGUGGCAUAUCAAUAAGCGGAGGAAAAGAAACUAACAAGGAUUCCCUUAGUAACGGCGAGUGAAGCGGGAAGAGCUCAAAUUUGAAAUCUUCAAGGUUUUACCUUGACGAAUUGUAGUUUAAAGAAGUGUUUUCUGUUGAAGUUUUGGUAAAAGUUCUUUGGAAUAGGACAUCAUAGAGGGUGAGAAUCCCGUAUUUGACCAUUAUUUUCAGCUGUGUGAUACACUUUCAAAGAGUCGGAUUGUUUGGGAAUGCAGUCCAAAAUGGGUGGUAAAUUUCAUCUAAAGCUAAAUACUGGCGAGAGACCGAUAGCGAACAAGCACCGUGAGGGAAAGAUGAAAAGAACUUUGAAAAGAGAGUUAAACAGUACGUGAAAUUGUCAAAAGGGAAGCGUUUGACACCAGUGUUGUUUUCUCGAAAAUCAAUUAAAAAUGAUGGGAUUUAGUGUUGUAUUGACUUUAUCAGCUUUCUGCACUUUUUUCUUAUCUUUUUUAAUGCACUUUUCGUUUAACAAGAUCAACAUCAAUUUCUUUUGUUGUAAAAGAGUCAUUGGAAGGUGGCUUUUCUUUCGGAGAAAGUGUUUAUAGCCUUUGGCUUCUGCAAUCGGAGAGAUUGAGGUCUGCAGCGUAGAUCCUUCGGGGUUAGAUAGCAUUUGUGCUAAGCUAUAGUUCUUUCAUAGACAACUUGUUGACUAUGAUCAGUCCUGUAGCUUACUCGCUUAUGCUAUUUUACCUACGCUUAGGAUGUUGAUAUGCAUGACUGAUAU
Molecule: ribosomal RNA, 777 nt
Filed under: uncultured Neocallimastigales
Lineage: Eukaryota; Fungi; Neocallimastigomycota; Neocallimastigomycetes; Neocallimastigales
Description: partial large subunit ribosomal RNA
Rfam family: Eukaryotic large subunit ribosomal RNA
Source: RNAcentral